GACAUGCCCUAGCGUGGCUCCAUUUUCACCCGUUGUGCUAAGAAUCUCUCAGUGGUCCUUUCAAUCUGGCAACUUAUUUCCGUCUGUUCUGGAAAACUCUUUGAAUUGUUUCUCUGAUGAUUUCUUUCCUUCCAAUUAUUUGUCUGUUUGGAUAACCUGGCCUCAUCUUCCAAUGAUCUUAUCUUUUCAUUCCUAUUUUUUGUUGCUUUGUGUGUUCUCUCAAUGUUGCCUUCCAACACUCCUAUUGAGUUGUUUGUGGCUGUCAUAUGGUGAUGUCCAAGGGCUGCUUUUUGACAGGGUGCGAGACAUCCUUUUACUUCCCUGCAUGUAUGAACGAUUGUGUGUGGAGAUGUGCUUUGUGACAGAGGGACCUAUCGAACCACAGGGCUAGAUGGCUGGCUCCACAUCUGCUCAGGAUUUCCAAGAAAGGAAAAGAAGUCGACCUACUUUCUGCACACCAGUCGUUUCCUCACACCCCACGAGGCAAGAGUAAUGCAGGAUCACAAAACUGGGAACAGCCGCUCCUGCAUUCCUCCCCCACUGGCUCUAGAAGUCCCAAGAGGAAGGUGUCACAUUUGCUCAUGACACGCUGCUUUGUCCAAUGACACUUUCCCUUCCGGUUCUCCUGCUCCCGGAAGCUGUCUAGAAGGAGCGACCUCUGCUCCUGGCCAGUGUGAGGCCCUGGCUGCCUCCCCUCUCUUCAGGUCACAGUUUCUCCACGCUCCAGUCUACUCCAAACUCAUCCUUUCCAUCUUCCUAUAUACCUCACCGCCCAACUGCUCCAAUCAGGAGGUCUUGGGCUUUGAAAACCUUCAGUAGCUUUAUGGCAAUUUUAUUGAAAGAACUCUUCCAACAUUUACUUGUUUUUCAUCACAGACCCCGUGCCCUGGAAUCCAAGCUGGAUUGUAAGGCCCUGAGGGGAGCUUUAGAUCUUAUUAUUUUUUGCAUUCUUCAUACCGGGCCUGGUGUCUUAGUCCAUUCGGGCUGUGAAAACAAAAAUGCCAUAGAGUGGGGAGCUUAUAAACCACAAUUGCUUCUCACAGUUCUGGAGGCUGGAAGUCUAAGAUGAAGGCGCUGGCAGACUCAGUGUCUGGUGAGGGCUGCUUCCUGGUUCAUAGCUGGCCGUCCCCUCCCUGUGUCCUCACAUGGCAGAAGGACCGAGGAGCUCUGUGGGGCCACUUUUAUAAGGGCCCCACCUCCUAAUACCAUCACCUCAGGGGUUAGGUUUCAACACAUGAAUUUAAGGGGGGGGCACAAACAUUCAGGCCAUAGCACAUAGAGCUUGAUGCCUAGAAGAUAUUUAUUAAAGUUUUUGAAUGACCAAGGGCUCCAAUAACAUGAAUCCACUUACUCCUCUUCUGAUCCUAAACAGUCACCAUGGAACCAAACCCCAGCUCUCAUCCUUCAAGAUAAGUUCUUUCCUGGAGACUCUUCUCGCCUCUGAACGUCCAAAGGAUUUAUCUUAGGUGCUGGGUUGUGAGUCGCUUCUGCACAUGGUCCAGGACAUCAUGGAGGGGUCGGGGGACAGGAGACAGUCUUUUGCCUCCAUGACCCUGGUAUGCUGGAUGCGUCAUCCAAUUUGUUCCUACUUCUCGAGGGCCCUGCUAGUGGGCUCAACAUAGCAAAUGUGGGGGUUGGUAUUUAAUUGUGGACGGACACGCCAGAAACAUCCCAAAUCCUCAGCUUCCUACUUCUCUCUACGCAUCUCCUUCCACCACUGCUCUGCUGAUAGAGCAAAGGAAGAGGCACAAUGAGAGGCCAGCAUCGUGGUGCCCACUUGGGUCUGGGCAGCUGGAGGAUGAAAAGACAACUUUAGGUGCAUGGGCUGGACUCCCUCAUGGGCCAACUGGGAGGCGAUGGUGUGGCGGUUCAAUCCCUUAGAAUCGCACGACGGGAAAGCUCAAGGUGGACUCAGAUCUCAGCUCCCAAAUCUGGAUGUGGGAAGGAGAAGAGAGUGUGCUGUUAACCCCUUGUUGCAAAGAGCCACUGUCCUGUCUAAAUAUAAAGGGCAUGGCGUGAACCCAUCAGAAAGUUAUCGCCACCACUUCUUUCUGAGGAAGGUGGGAGGCGGGGUCUGCUGUGGGCAGAAUUCUCAAGAGUGUGAGCAGCCACAGUUGGGCCCAGAGGAGCAAUACAACAGGGAAACGCCACCCUCCACCCCACAUGACAACACUCUCCAGCCCCUUAAGUGACAAUGGGAAGCGAAUAUGUCUUGUUUCCUUGUUACAUACCCAGCGCAUGGCACAAAGUCCGUCAUAGAUUAGGAACCCAGUAAACAUUUGUUGAGCAAAUAAAUUUGUUGAGCAAAUUCACGCACAAUGAAAUUGCUGAUCUGUGGCUUUAGAGCAAAUCUUUGGGACCAUCGUAAGUAGUUAAUAUGGAACAGAUGCAGCAUGGGAAACUUUGAGACAUAAAUGACCACG
Long non-coding RNA from Equus caballus (horse), 2423 nucleotides. The record is from Ensembl. Lineage: Eukaryota; Metazoa; Chordata; Mammalia; Perissodactyla; Equidae.